Molecule: ribosomal RNA, 469 nt
Filed under: uncultured Glomus
Lineage: Eukaryota; Fungi; Glomeromycota; Glomeromycetes; Glomerales; Glomeraceae
Description: SSU rRNA
Rfam family: Eukaryotic small subunit ribosomal RNA
Source: RNAcentral
UUCCAGCUCCAAUAGCGUAUAUUAAAGUUGUUGCAGUUAAAAAGCUCGUAGUUGAAUUUCGGGGUUAGUAGGCUGGUCAUGCCUCCGGUAUGUACUGGUCUCACUGAUUCCUCCUUCCUGAUGAACCGUAAUGCCAUUAAUUUGGUGUUGCGGGGAAUCUGGACUGUUACUUUGAAAAAAUUAGAGUGUUUAAAGCAAGCUAACGCUUGAAUACAUUAGCAUGGAAUAAUGAAAUAGGACGUUCGAUCCUAUUUUGUUGGUUUCUAGGAUUGACGUAAUGAUUAAUAGGGAUAGUUGGGGGCAUUAGUAUCCAAUUGUCAGAGGUGAAAUUCUUGGAUUUAUUGAAGACUAACUACUGCGAAAGCAUUUGCCAAGGAUGUUUUCAUUAAUCGAGGACGAAAGUUAGGGGAUCGAAGACGAUCAGAUACCGUCGUAGUCUUAACCAUAAACUAUGCCGACUAGGGAUCGG